UUAAUAGAAGCCAAAUCUUAGAGGCAUAUCAUUGUUAAUGAUAUCAUUGAAUAUUAUAUUCCUAUUAAA
This 69-nucleotide transfer RNA is filed under the name Tetraloides nigrifrons. Its description in RNAcentral is "tRNA-Asn". Lineage: Eukaryota; Metazoa; Arthropoda; Malacostraca; Decapoda; Tetraliidae. The record is from RNAcentral.